Long non-coding RNA from Drosophila mojavensis, 976 nucleotides. RefSeq lists it as uncharacterized. Lineage: Eukaryota; Metazoa; Arthropoda; Insecta; Diptera; Drosophilidae. The transcript has 2 exons. The record is from RefSeq and is a predicted model, not a curated record.
AAUAAAACAAAUGUUAAAAUGGAUAGACAAAACAAAUAAAUAAACUUAUAACUAAUACACGAUAUUUCAAUAAUAUACCCACCUCGCUAUACACGCUACUGAGUGAAUCUUGCAGUCAAAUCUAACAAACAAAAAAUAAAUAAAUAAUAAUAAUAAAUCCAAAAACUUAAAUAUAACCAAAGUUAAAGCCCAUAGCAAGCUAAUAAUAAAUUAAUAUUCUUACUAAUAAAACCAACAAUAAAUAAAAAUCUCAAAAAAAAAAUCAAGCAAAGCAAAUAAAUAAACAAUCACGAUAUAAGAAAUUCUAAAUAAAGACGAACACUAUGGAAAGAAACAAAACUAGCCUCUCUCCUGGAUCCACGGAGUACUUACAACCUGGACAUAGCUACAAAUAAGAGCAUCGACAGCAGCGCCUUCUUCUGUCUUCCCCUCCGGGCCACUGAAGACUGGAUGACAGCGACUGAUGACGCCCCUAGAGUUAUCAAAUCAACAAUACAACUAACAAACCAGCUAAAUGUAAUUAUAUUUAAGAAUAGUAAUCCAAAUUAAAUUUAAAGAAUAGUAAUCCAAAUUGAAUUUAAAGAAUAGUAAUCUAAAUUGAAUUUAACGAAGAAAAUCUGACUUAGUCUUUACUCUUCCCCACCAAAUUAAAUCUGUAUAAAUAACUACAACUUUACUAGAUAGAUAUAUAUAUGUAUAUAAAAAGAAAACACUCAAUUAUUUGUAAAAUUCAAACUUUAUUAAUAAACACUUAUAUUAAGUUUCGCCUACUACUAGCUUAUAAUACUUACCACAUAAGUGAAUUGUAAAUAAGCUGCCAACUAAUUUCUAGAAAGUACUAACGCAAAGCACUGAGAAAUGAAUAAAGACACCCUGUUCCCUCUUCUCUCACCUUUACGCUGCUGGGCAGCCUAAAGCUUGAGGCGAGAAAAAGCAGGGCAAUUGUGUAUGUGAUUCCCUCGCAUGCAGGCUGAAA